RNAcentral lists this ribosomal RNA (1461 nucleotides) under uncultured Bordetella sp. RNAcentral describes it as "partial 16S-23S ribosomal RNA intergenic spacer". It matches the Rfam family "Bacterial small subunit ribosomal RNA". The record is from RNAcentral. Lineage: Bacteria; Pseudomonadati; Pseudomonadota; Betaproteobacteria; Burkholderiales; Alcaligenaceae.
GUUCGAUUCAGGGCUCCAGAUUGAACGCUGGCGGGAUGCUUUACAUGCAAGUCGAACGGCAGCACGGACUUCGGUCUGGUGGCGAGUGGCGAACGGGUGAGUAAUGUAUCGGAACGUGCCUAGUAGCGGGGGAUAACUACGCGAAAGCGUAGCUAAUACCGCAUACGCCCUUCGAAGGGGAAAGCGGGGACCUUCGGGCCUCGCACUAUUAGAGCGACCGAUAUCGGAUUAGCUAGUUGGUGGGGUAACGGCUCACCAAGGCGACGAUCCGUAGCUGGUUUGAGGACGACCAGCCACACUGGGACUGAGACGGCCCAGACUCCUACGGGGAGAGCAGCAGUGGGGAAUUUUGAAAAAGCGUAAAACCCUGAUCCAGCCAUCCCGUGUGCGAUGAAGGCCUUCGAAUUUGUAAACACUUUUGGCAGGAAAGAAGCAACAGGAUAAUACCCAUGCAACUGACCGUACCUGCAGGCUCAAGCACCGGCUAACUACGUGCCAACGCAGCCGCGGUAAUACGUAGGGUACAAGCGUUGUCGGAGAUACAGACGUAAGCGUGCGCGAACGGUUCGGAAAGAAAGAUGUGAAAUCCCAGAAACCUUUGGAACUGCAUUUUUAACUACCGACUGAAGUGGCGUGGAGGAGAUUGAUUCCGCGUGUAGCAGUGAAAUGCGUAGAUAUGCGGAGGAACACCUAUGGCGAAGCAGCCUCCUGGGAUAACACUGACGCUCAUGUACGAAAGCGUGGGAGCAAACUGGAUUAGAUACCCUGGUAGUCCACGCCCUAAACGAUGCAUCAACUAGCUGUUGGGGCCUUCGGGCCUUGGUAGCGCAGCUAACGUGAAGUUGACCGCCUGGGGAGUACGGUCGCAAGAUUAAAACUCAAGGAAUUGACGGGGACCCGCACAAGCGGUGGAUGAUGUCUGGAUUAAUUCGAUGCAACGCGAAAAACCUUACCUACCUUGACAUAAUCUGGAAUCCCGAAGAUUUGGGAGUGCUCGCAAGAGAACCGGAACACAGGUGCUGCAUGGCUGUCGUCAGCUCAUUCGUGAGAUGUUGGGUUAAGUCCCGCAACAGGCGCAGCCUGCACCAUUAGUUGCUACGAAGGGCACUCUAAUAGGGCUACCGGUGACAAACCGGAGGAAGGUGAGAUGACGUCAAGUCCUCAUGGCCCUUAUGGGUAGGGCUUCACACGUCAUACAAUGGUCGGGACAGAGGGUCGCCAACCCGCGAGGGGGCAAUCGAGGAAGCCGAUCGUAGUCCGGAAUCCGCAGUCUGCAACUCGACUGCGUGAGUCGGAAUCGCUAGUAAUCGCGGAUCAGCAUGUCGCGGUGAAUACGUUCCCGGGUCUUGUACACACCGCCCGUCACACCAUGGGAGUGGGUUUUACCAGAAGUAGUUAGCCUAACCUGGAGGCGAUUACCACGGUAGGAUUCAUGACUGGGGUGAAGUCGUAGCUAAGUGG